GCCACUGUAUCUUAUGAUCCUAACACAGUUGCAGAGCAACUAAAGGCUACGGAAGACUUAGUUUCAUUGUAUUUGACGCCUGAGGACGAUUUCACACAGCCACCCCCAUGGAGCAGAAACGGAUGUCUACACAAGCCUAAGAAGGGAUCUAAGAAGAGAUCUAUUGAGCCUGUGCCAUACCAGAAAGGCUUCCCGCCCAAAAGACGCAACCAUUCCUUUGUUCCGGUCUCAUCUUACCCG
Perca fluviatilis (European perch) is the source of this 240-nucleotide long non-coding RNA. RefSeq lists it as uncharacterized. Lineage: Eukaryota; Metazoa; Chordata; Actinopteri; Perciformes; Percidae. The transcript is spliced from 3 exons. The record is from RefSeq and is a predicted model, not a curated record.